GGGGAAUAUUGCACAAUGGGCGAAAGCCUGAUGCAGCAACGCCGCGUGAGUGACGAAGGCCUUCGGGUUGUAAAGCUCUGUCUUCUGGGACGAUAAUGACGGUACCAGAGGAGGAAGCCACGGCUAACUACGUGCCAGCAGCCGCGGUAAUACGUAGGUGGCAAGCGUUGUCCGGAUUUACUGGGCGUAAAGGAUGCGUAGGCGGAUAUUUAAGUCAGAUGUGAAAAUCCCGGGCUCAACUUGGGAACUGCAUUUGAAACUGGGUAUCUAGAGUGCAGGAGAGGAAAGCGGAAUUCCUAGUGUAGCGGUGAAAUGCGUAGAGAUUAGGAAGAACACCAGUGGCGAAGGCGGCUUUCUGGACUGUAACUGACGCUGAGGCAUGAAAGCGUGGGGAGCAAAC
Molecule: ribosomal RNA, 400 nt
Filed under: uncultured bacterium
Lineage: Bacteria
Description: bacterial SSU rRNA
Rfam family: Bacterial small subunit ribosomal RNA
Source: RNAcentral